Molecule: long non-coding RNA, 4118 nt
Organism: Mirounga angustirostris (Northern elephant seal)
Lineage: Eukaryota; Metazoa; Chordata; Mammalia; Carnivora; Phocidae
Exons: 3
Source: RefSeq, a predicted model, not a curated record
UGUCCGAAAGUGAAAAGCAGAGGAGCGCUUCAGCUAUGAAAAAUUCACAAUUCCUUCUGUGCCGAUGCUGAUUAGUGGUGUCAGAAGAGGAUCUCAACUCUCAACCGAGGUCUGAGCUGGCUCUGGAAACCCUGGGUGGACGGUGGUGGGCGAGUAGGAAAGCGAGGUCGGGGGUUGCUAAGACCCCCUUUGCGCCCUCCUAUUAAGGCAAAAUGAGGCGCGGUGCCAAAAUGCACCGAAGGCACAGUAAAGUCAGGUAGUGGGACUGGAGUCAUGCAUCUCUGGGGUCUCCAGAGCGACCCCCUUAGGAAUAUUCCGGGCAGGUUCUCAGAUGGGAGUGGUCAGGGCUGGCCUGGAAGUAUGCAGGUUUAGGACUCCGGAGUUCAGCUCCACCCCUGGGUUACCUUGGAGAAACCACUUUACAUCUCUGUGCUCCCUCAUUUUCUCACCUUUAAAAGGGGGGAGCCUUCUUCGCAAAGCCCUACGUUGUCCUAUUUUCUGUUCUUUUGCCUUUGUUAGAAAACAAAAUUCGUUGGAGUAAAUUUGAAGAUCUAAUUGGCUUUUUUUUUUUAAUUUUUUUUUUUUAAAGAUUUUAUUCAUUUAUUUGAGAGAGAAUGAGAUAGAGAGAGCAUGAGAGGGGGGAGGGUCAGCGGGAGAAGCAGACUCCCUGCCGAGCAGGGAACCCGAUGCGGGACUCGAUCCCGGGACUCCAGGAUCAUGACCUGAGCUGAAGGCAGUCGCUUAACCAACUGAGCCACCCAGACGCCCCUCUAAUUGGCUUUAUUACACGAGUCAUGAAUCGGGCAGCAUCCCAGAGUUACACAACAGGAGACAUUUCCUAAAAGUCCAGAUAACAGCAGUCGGCCACAGCUGAGUCUUGUUCGAUGUUUUUUGUAUGGUUUGGGACCAGAAAGCCAAAUGUAGGCUCCACACCCAGCAUGGAGCCCAAUGUGGGGCCUGAGCUCACAACCGUGAGAUCAAGACCUGAGCCGAGAUCAAGACCUGAGCCGAGAUCAAGAGUUGGAUGCUACACCGACUGAGCCACCCAGGUGUCCCUCCCUCUUUUUUUUUUUUUUUUUUUAAAGAUUUUAUUUAUUUAUUUGACAGAGACAGAGAUAGCGAGAGCAGGAACACAAGCAGCGGGAGUGGGAGAGGGAGAGCAGGCUUCCCGCCGAGGAGGGAGCCCGAUGUGGGGCUCGAUCCCAGGACCCUGGGAUCAUGACCUGAGCCGAAAGCAGACGCUUAACGACUGAGCCACCUAGGCGCCCUCCCUCUUUUUCUUAACCAUAUUUAAUUAAGUCUAUUAUUUCUUGCCCUUUCUUUUAAUUUAUUUUAAAGAUUUUAUUAUUUAUUUGACAGAGAGAGCACAAGCAGAGGGAGAGAGAGGGAGAAGCAGGCUCCCUGCUAAGCAAGGAGUCCGAGGUGUGACUCGAUCCCAGGGCCCUGGGAUCAUGACCCGGGCUGAAGGCAGCCGCUUAACCGACUGAGCCACCCAGGCAUCCCUAUUUAUUAUUUUUUUUAAAGAUUUUAUUUAUUUAUUUGACAGAGACACAGCGAGAGAGGGAACACAAGCAGGGGGAGUGGGAGAGGGAGAAGCAGGCUUCCCGCAGAGCAGGGAGCCCGAUGCGGGGCUCUGUCCCAGGACCCUGAGAUCAUGACCCGAGCCGAAGGUAGAUGCUUAACAGUUGAGCCACCCAAGCGCCCCUCUUUUAUUUUUUUUAAAAGAUUUUAUUUGUCAGAGAAAGCGAGUGGACAAGUAGGGGGAGCAGCAGGGAAAGGGAGAAGCAGGCGAGCAGGAAGCCUGACGCGGGGCUCGAUCCCAGGACCGCGGGAUUAUGACCUGAGCCGAAGGCAGACACUUAACCAACUGAGCCACCCAGAUGUCUCUAUUUCUUGCUCUUUCUAUCUGUUCUUUCAUAUUCUAGUGUUUCUUAUACAGAAAGGUUUCUGAUCUUAUCUUAAACCCAAACCUUUUAAGUAGGAACAAGUAUCUACUAACUAGUAUCUUCUAACAGUUGUUCCCAAAUAUACAUUGAUUGAGAUAAAUAUUUCAUUAUAAGUCACUGCUUAAAAAUUUUAGUGCUAAGUUUAUUUUUUUUUGAGUUUGUAGGUACUUUUAUUUCAUGUCUACCAAUUUUAUUCCAGAAUAUUGUAGAGGAUAUUAUAAAUAUUUGUUAUAGAAAUGGGAUGUUAGAUCUGUCAAGGUUGAGAACCAUCACAUUACAUUGUUAUAUACAUCAUUCUUGUAACUUCCUCCUCCUACACUGGGUGGAAGGUUAAACUAGAUGGCUUCUAAAAGUCUGUGAACCACAAUCUCCUCUUGGCCUUCCACAGGUAUCCUCCUGUGUUAUUUUAGAUAGCUCCACCCAACCCAAAUAUUAUUCCCAAGAGCAGACUUAGUUCUCAUCUCUUAAAUGAUCAGAUCUCUAGUUUAUACUGAAGCUUACACCAGUUUUUACUCAUUUUGGUCAUUACCUUACUUCCUGAACCACCAACAUGGUUUUUCUUUUUCAAAUUAAGAGAGCAUUCUCAAAAGGUGCCCCUCUCCAAAAACUUAAGUGAUAAUAAACCUUCUCUGAGACCUCUCUGGUGCUGGAUUAAAAAUCUCCUUUCUAUAUUGCUUCUGAGAGACCAGAAUAUUUAGUUCUCCUCUCCUCUCUGGGCUCCAAAUUCUUUAAGUCUGCCUCUAGGCUAUUUGUCUCAUCCCUAAAAACAAGUGUUUCUAAGCAUCAGCCCUCUACUCUUUGCAUUCUAUUUCUGCAUAAGCCAACCUAUUCUAAUAGCUUCAAGUGUCACUGCUCUACUCUUACCUCUAAGCUCCUACUUUGGCAACACCUACUAAACUGCCCCUCUGGCUCCCUGGUUUUCUUCUGAUUGUCUGGCAGUUGCCUUGAACUCAAGAGGUUCUAAGCCACUCGUUAUCUUCCCUCAAAACCUCUAAACCAUGUUCUUUACACUUUACAACUUCUCCAUUUCUCUAUUUUUCAAAACAUGGUUUUAUCCUUGGCAUUCUUCCUUUAUAUCUCAUCUUCUAAUCAAGUCCUAUUUCUACCUUUGAAACUUCUCUAGCAUUUAUCCCUUCUUUUCCACCCCUACCUCCAUCUCCUAAGAUCAACUGCUCCAGUAUUUUCUUCCUCUCUUCAGGGUUUCCCUUAUCCUUUAAUGCAUGCUAUACCUUGCUAUCAAAUCUUCCUAAUAUGCAGCUUCAGCAAGUUUUCCUCUCUUCAAAAGUUUCCACAGCUUCUAAUACCCUCAAAGUAAUGUCCAAAAUUCUUCUGGUAUCCAAAACUUUUAGUUUUAGUCACUGUAUCCAAAACUGCCUUCUUAGUUCUUCAGUUCUCUCUGCUUCAGCUGAAACAGGCUUAGGGAUCAUAACUUCUGUUCUCCUGUGGUACCUGGCAUAAUGCUGGUGUUAAAGAUUUAAUUUACUUAAUUUAUUAUCAGUCACAAAAGUAUUUUCAUGGUCAUUCAUUUCCAAACAACACACAUUUUGAUCGGUGACUACUAUGUGACAAGCACUAUGCUAGGCACCAGAAAUAAAAAGAUGAAGAUAUAUGGAUCUGUAUCUCAAGGAGCUCCAGGUAUAAUAGAGGAGUGUUAAGCACAUCAUUAAAAUAUAACACAACCAACAGUGCCUGGCUCGUAGGAGACACUAAAAUGUUUGCCAAUUUACAUAUAGAAUAUUGCUAUCCUAUGAAGUUAAAAUGUGGGAUCCAGCCUUAGGGUUAAAAAUUUCUAUGGGGAGCCUGGGUAGCUCAGUUGGUUAAGCGACUGCCUUCGGCUCAGGUCAUGAUCCUGGAGUCCUGGGAUCGAGUCCCGCAUCGGGCUCCCUGCUCGGCAGGGAGUCUGCUUCUCCCUCUGACCCUCCUCCCUCUCAUGCUCUCUGUCUCUCAUUCUCUCUCUCUCAAAUAAAUAAAUAAAAAAUCUUAAAAAAAAAAAAUUUCUAGAGGUAAGGACUACAAAGUGAAUUAAUAGUUUAUACAAAUCCAGGUGAACUGUGACUGGUUGGGAAAAUGUCUAUUCUCUGUUAUUUCUGUUAAGUUUUAUACACGCUGAUUUGAUAUAACCAUGUGAUAAACAAUUUUCUGUACAGGAAAAGUGAUCCUGUAUACAUACCC